Long non-coding RNA from Eucalyptus grandis, 1275 nucleotides. RefSeq lists it as uncharacterized. The transcript is spliced from 2 exons. Lineage: Eukaryota; Viridiplantae; Streptophyta; Magnoliopsida; Myrtales; Myrtaceae. The record is from RefSeq and is a predicted model, not a curated record.
CGACAUCUUCUGCGUCCUUAUCCUCUCCCCUCUCGGCUUGCUUCGCACGUUUUUCCCCUCCCACGCCUUCUGCUUCUCCUUUCAUUUCCCUUGGGACACUCGACUUCCCAAUUUAAUUUCUUCAUGCUGCCGUCUGCUCCUCUCCACGUCUGCAACUCCACCGAUUCUUGCUUUCGGCUGCCACACUCACACCAGUCAACUCUGCAAAUCCCCCGGCCGGUUUGUUGACCACCAGCAGCGAAGCCCACGCCAAACCAGUCCAACGUCCACCGAAACAUGCUGCUCGUUUCCACCGAGUCUCUCUCCCUCUCUGCGCCUGCUCCUCCACUAAGCCGCGUCUCCUUCGGGCAACACCCUAGCUCACCGGAAGCCCAGCCGUGUUGACUCCCCCCCCUCGCCAGCGACGCCACUUGGCCAACGUCCACCCCUCCGUUCCUCUCUGCCGGGUCAGCUCACGAUUCCACCGAAGCUGCUUCUCCCUUUGCUUCUUCGACAGCCAGCUCAACCGAAGUUUUCGCUCGAUCCCAACUCUGCCACAUCCAACGAUCCAUCAAGCGGAGCAGCAUCACCGUCAACUGAAGCAAACAGAAAUCCAGCGAGCUUCACGUCCCUGUCGCAGCAAGCCAGUUCGGUAUUUCAGCGGCCCAGCAAGUUUGAGCCCAUCUCCAUCAGCUCAGCCCAUCUUCGGCAAGUGAAGCCCAGCAAUUCCAGUCCACGAGCCAAAAGUUUCAGCCUGUUAAUUCCAGCAAUUUUGGCCCAACAGCUGGGCCUGUUUUCAGCCUUGGUUCAGCCCAGUUUCGGGCCCGGUUCAGCAGCUGUUCGGCCCAGCUCUUUGAAGCCUGCGAAGCAGCCCAAGCCCAAUACCAAGCCCAGCAAUUGAUGUGGGCUUGCGAGGCUUGUAGGCCCGGCCUGAGUGUCUGCCAAAAAUUUGGAUUUCGGCCGCCGUCACGCCGUCGUCUUAGUGUUCCGGUCUUCACUUUUAUCAAGCCCGUAGAUGAGCCUGAGGAGGAGAAGCUAGAAGAUGACGAUGAGCCAGAAAGAGAUGAAGAGCUCGAAGGAAAUGAGCUUAGUGAAGAAGAGUCAAAGAGGAUCAGGAUGAUCUUGAGUACGACCCAGAUGAGGACUGAGAUCCCAUCCUCUUUUGUGAACCCUUUGUAUAUGUGUAGAUAGAGUGAGACUUUGAAGUUUGUGAAUACUUGUGAAGUACUCUGCCUAAUGCCAUGUAUAAAAGUUUGGUUGUAAAUUUCAAUAUGAAAAAUAUGGCCCGUUUUUCUA